GGUCCGAGUUGUAAUUUGUAGAGGAUGCUUCGGGCGUGGCGCGGGUCUAAGUUCCUUGGAACAGGACGUCAUAGAGGGUGAGAAUCCCGUAUGCGACCCAAUGCCUCCGUCCAUGUGAAGCUCCUUCGACGAGUCGAGUUGUUUGGGAAUGCAGCUCAAAAUGGGUGGUAAAUUUCAUCUAAAGCUAAAUAUUGGCCAGAGACCGAUAGCGCACAAGUAGAGUGAUCGAAAGAUGAAAAGCACUUUGGAAAGAGAGUUAAAAAGUACGUGAAAUUGUUGAAAGGGAAGCGCUUGCAACCAGACUUGCUCGCGGUUGCUCAGCCGGUGUUCUCACCGGUGCACUCUUCCGCGAUCAGGCCAGCAUCGGUUUGGGCGGCUGGAUAAAGGCCCCGGGAAUGUAGCUCCUCUCGGGGAGUGUUAUAGCCCGAGGUGCAAUGCAGCCUGCCCGGACCGAGGACCGCGCUUCGGCUAGGAUGCUGGCGUAAUGGUUGUAAGCGACCCGUCUUGAAACACGGACCAAGGAGUCUAACAUCUAUGCGAGUGUUUGGGUGUCAAACCCAUGCGCGUAAUGAAAGUGAACGGAGGUGGGAACCCUUAAGGGUGCACCAUCGACCGAUCCUGAUGUCUUCGGAUGGAUUUGAGUAAGAGCAUAGCUGUUGGGACCCGAAAGAUGGUGAACUAUGCCUGAAUAGGGUGAAGCCAGAGGAAACUCUG
This 714-nucleotide ribosomal RNA is filed under the name Sarea difformis. RNAcentral describes it as "partial large subunit ribosomal RNA". It matches the Rfam family "Eukaryotic large subunit ribosomal RNA", at positions 135 to 866 of the family's 3401-position model. The record is from RNAcentral. Lineage: Eukaryota; Fungi; Ascomycota; Sareomycetes; Sareales; Zythiaceae.